This is a non-coding RNA of Odocoileus virginianus texanus, 1729 nucleotides long. NCBI's taxonomy places the organism in Eukaryota, Metazoa, Chordata, Mammalia, Artiodactyla, Cervidae. The record is from RefSeq and is a predicted model, not a curated record.
CUAGAUAUUUUAUUUAUGUGUAAAAAAGAGAAAUAUCCAUGGGUAAAUUUUAGUUAAAAACAGAUUAGUAUAAACGUCUUUUUUAGUGGUACUUUGAUAUGUAUGAAACACCUGUCAGUCCAGAUGAAAUUUUUAAAAGUCAAAGGUGCAUUUUGGGGGCCAUUAAUAUAUUCAUCAGGUGUAUAAUUUCAGAAGGUAAGAGGGUAUAUGAUGAAACCUAUGAUCAGUUUGGUUCCCCUCGCCUCCCUCGGUGGGUUCUCCUGGAGUUAAUGACAAGGUGUGCAUUAGGUGUGUGUUGUGAAACACAAAUGGUAGCUUUAUACUCAUUUUACAUUUAGCUUUUUUUUUUUAACGCUGACAGUACACUUUGAUUUAAAAUAAAAUAAAGCUUGAUUUACUAAGCUCUGAGCCUCUCGCUUCAUGGUUACUUAAUUAUUUUUAGAAUUAAGGAAAUACAAAUGAACUGUGAUGUCCAUAGGGAGGAAAGCCAGGAAACAGAAAAUACCAUGAGUUACCUGAUAGUCAUCAUUUUACCAAGCUAGGAGACGGCAGUUUUGAGGAAAGCAUAUGGAAUAUGGCUCUUGAUGGAGCUACGUGCCCCUUGAAGGAUACAUGUGGAUAAUCCAUAGGGAUGAUUCACUACAGUGCAGCUGUAAACUUCUUUUAAUUAGGUAGGAAGCACCUGGGUGUUUUUACUUCAUUGUUUUUCCUCUUCUCAGUCCAUUUUCUUCAGGGAUUAAAAAAAGAAAAAAAAACUCAACCAGUUGGAAUUUAAGUUUUUGUAGGGAAAAGUGUUCAGCGUCUUAAAAAGGGGAGUUAUACUGAUCAUCUGCUGGAAGACGAGGUGAGAAUAGUAACAUUAAUCCGUGUGAAUUAUAGAGGGAAAAUGACUGUGUACAGGGAACUGUGUAUUAGCAUCCUGUGUAUCUUUGGAUUUGCACUUCUGAUUUGUGUUUGAAAAUAUUUAAUAGAAUUAAUGCUAAAUGUGUACAAACUGCUGUUCAAAUUUGAAUGGCACUAGUAUUUUUUAAUCUUCUCUGGGUUCUGAGCAUUUCCAUGAGGUGGCACUGGCAUCUUUCCAUGACUUCUGGAAAGUGACUGAUGUUGGUCACAAGAUUAGUAGCUUCUCCCGAGGGACUGAUCAACAUUGUUUACCUAUGAAAUUUACUCUGUCCUCCAAUGAAUCAUUCUGUACAUCACGUGUAGUAGUAACUGACAUAUACUUUGUAAUAAAAAUUAUUAACUAUUGUUUAACUAUGUGUGUAGGUCUGGAGUAAAUAGAUUGCCAGAAGCUUCUCCAGCAAAAAUAUUUGGGAUCAGCAGAGAAUCCAAGUUUGAGAGUCUGCAACCUUGGCAAGUCACCUGCAAGUUCCCUCUUCGGCACGAGAGGAAAAGGAAAUUGGGGGAGGGCUAUAGUAAACCUGUAGAGACCCUGGCUUUUCACUGGCUGAGUCCCUGCCAGUUUCUUCCUCCCAUUGAGUUCUUCUAUCAUAGCAGGAGGAAAGCUGAACAAAGACCUGCGACAUUUUCUCAAUCAGAGGUUCCAGAAAGGGUCGCCUGAUCAUGAGCUCCAGCAGACCAUAAGAGAUAACCUUUACCGCCAUGCUGUGCCUUGCACAACCCGGUCUCCCAGAGAAGGAGAGGUGCCUGGCGUGGACUAUAACUUUCUGACUGUGAAGGAGUUCUUGGACCUCGAGCAGAGCGGGACUCUUCUGGAAGUCGGCACCUA